AAAGCGUGCGCAGGCGGUUAUGUAAGACAGAUGUGAAAUCCCCGGGCUCAACCUGGGAACUGCAUUAGUGACUGCAUAGCUGGAGUACGGCAGAGGGGGAUGGAAUUCCGCGUGUAGCAGUGAAAUGCGUAGAUAUGCGGAGGAACACCGAUGGCGAAGGCAAUCCCCCGGGCCUGUACUGACGCUCAUGCACGAAAGCGUGGGGAGCAAACAGGAUUAGAUACCCCGGU
RNAcentral lists this ribosomal RNA (230 nucleotides) under uncultured bacterium. RNAcentral's name for it is "partial 16S ribosomal RNA". It matches the Rfam family "Bacterial small subunit ribosomal RNA", at positions 562 to 791 of the family's 1533-position model. The record is from RNAcentral.